This 253-nucleotide ribosomal RNA is filed under the name uncultured bacterium. RNAcentral's name for it is "partial 16S ribosomal RNA". It matches the Rfam family "Bacterial small subunit ribosomal RNA", at positions 524 to 776 of the family's 1533-position model. The record is from RNAcentral.
UACGGAGGGUGCAAGCGUUGCUCGGAAUCACUGGGCGUAAAGCGACCGCAGGCGGCCUGACAAGUCGGAUGUGAAAGCCCUGGGCUCAACUCAGGAAUUGCAUUCGAAACUGGUAGGCUCGAGUACGGGAGAGGGGGGUGGAAUUCCUGGUGUAGGGGUGAAAUUCGUUGAUAUCAGGAGGAACACCGGCGGCGAAGGUGGCCCCCUGGCCCGCAACUGACGCUCAUGGUCGAAAGCGUGGGGAGCAAACAGG